RNAcentral lists this transfer RNA (69 nucleotides) under Ictidomys tridecemlineatus (thirteen-lined ground squirrel). Its description in RNAcentral is "Spermophilus tridecemlineatus (thirteen-lined ground squirrel) tRNA". It matches the Rfam family "tRNA". From Rfam's summary of the family: Transfer RNA (tRNA) molecules are approximately 80 nucleotides in length. The record is from Rfam by way of RNAcentral. Lineage: Eukaryota; Metazoa; Chordata; Mammalia; Rodentia; Sciuridae.
GGGGUUGUAGCUCAGCGGUAGAGCGCUCGCCUAGCAAGUGUGAGGCCCUGAGUUCAAACCUCAGCACCA